Molecule: small nuclear RNA, 282 nt
Filed under: Castor canadensis (American beaver)
Lineage: Eukaryota; Metazoa; Chordata; Mammalia; Rodentia; Castoridae
Description: 7SK RNA (ENSCCNG00000023271.1)
Rfam family: 7SK RNA
About the family: 7SK was discovered as an abundant small nuclear RNA in the mid-70s but a possible function has only recently been suggested.
Source: RNAcentral
UGAUGUUAGGGCAAUCUAGCUGCAACAUCUGUCACUCCAUUGAUUGCCAGAGUAAUUUGGCUGAUUUGGCUGGCUAGGCCAGUGUCCCCUUCCUCACUCACUGUUCCAUGUGUGUCCCUCGUGUUUGUUUAAAAGGAUGACCUUCUGGAGGACUAUUCUUUGGUCAAGAGUAUACAAGUAACUGUGCUCCCCUGCCAUAACCUCCAAACAAGCUCUCAAUCACAAUUGUCAAAGUUCAAAGAGAAUUUAAAGAUCUCCUAAUUGAAUUUUUGAUUGAUAUUU